This 468-nucleotide ribosomal RNA is filed under the name uncultured bacterium. RNAcentral describes it as "partial 16S ribosomal RNA". It matches the Rfam family "Bacterial small subunit ribosomal RNA", at positions 28 to 507 of the family's 1533-position model. The record is from RNAcentral.
GAUGAACGCUGGCGGCGUGCUUAACACAUGCAAGUCGAACGGAAAGGCCCUGCUUUUGUGGGGUGCUCGAGUGGCGAACGGGUGAGUAACACGAGAGUAACCUGCCCUUGACUUUGGGAUAACUUCAGGAAACUGGGGCUAAUACCGGAUAGGAGCUCCUGCUGCAUGGUGGGGGUUGGAAAGUGUCGGCGGUUGGGGAUGGACUCGCGGCUUAUCAGCUUGUUGGUGGGGUAGUGGCUUACCAAGGGUUUGACGGGUAGCCGGCCUGAGAGGGUGACCGGCCACAUUGGGACUGCGGUACGGCCCAGACGGCUACGGGAGGCAGCAGUGGGGAAUAUUGCACAAUGGGCGGGAGCCUGAUACAGAAGCGCCGCGUGCGGAAUGACGGCCUUCGGGUUAUAAACCGCUUUCGCCUGAGACGAAGCGUGAGUGACGGUAAUGAGUAAAGAAGCACCGGCUAACUACGUG